This 464-nucleotide ribosomal RNA is filed under the name uncultured bacterium. RNAcentral's name for it is "SSU rRNA". It matches the Rfam family "Bacterial small subunit ribosomal RNA", at positions 26 to 518 of the family's 1533-position model. The record is from RNAcentral.
AGGACUAACGCUGGCGGCGUGCCUAACACAUGCAAGUCGAACGAAGUAGCAAUACUUAGUGGCAGACGGGUGAGUAACACGUAGUCAACCUGCCCUUCAAUGGGGGAUAACUAGCCGAAAGGUUAGCUAAUACCGCAUACGAUCUCUGAGUGGCAUCACUCGGCGAUGAAAGGAGUAAUCCGUUGAAGGAGGGGACUGCGUCCCAUUAGUUAGUUGGUGGGGUAAUGGCCUACCAAGACUCCGAUGGGUAGCUGGCUUGAGAGAGCGACCAGCCACACUGGAACUGAGACACGGUCCAGACUCCUACGGGAGGCAGCAGUGAGGAAUUUUCCGCAAUGGGGGAAACCCUGACGGAGCGACGCCGCGUGUGGGAAGAAGGCCUUCGGGUCGUAAACCACUGUCGAGGGGGACGAUAUUGACGGUACCCUGGAGGAAGCCCCGGCUAACUACGUGCCAGCAGCCGC